CUGGCGGCGUGCUUAACACAUGCAAGUCGAACGAGAAAGGGACUUCGGUCCUGAGUAGAGUGGCGCACGGGUGAGUAACGCGUAGGUAAUCUACCUCUGCAUCUGGGAUAACACUUCGAAAGGGGUGCUAAUACCGGAUACACUUAUCAAUCGCAAGGUUGAUAAGGAAAGGAGACCUCUCCUUGGAAGUUUCUGUGUAGAGAUGAGCCUGCGUCCCAUUAGCUAGUUGGCAGGGUAAUGGCCUACCAAGGCGACGAUGGGUAGCGGGUCUGAGAGGAUGAUCCGCCACACUGGAACUGAAACACGGACCACACUCCUACGGGAGGCAGCAGUGAGGAAUAUUGGACAAUGGGCUCAAGCCUGAUCCGGCGACGCCGCCUUGAGUGAUGAAGGCCUUUGGGUCUUAAAGCUCUGU
Molecule: ribosomal RNA, 415 nt
Filed under: uncultured bacterium
Lineage: Bacteria
Description: bacterial SSU rRNA
Rfam family: Bacterial small subunit ribosomal RNA
Source: RNAcentral